RNAcentral lists this ribosomal RNA (466 nucleotides) under Vreelandella stevensii. Its description in RNAcentral is "partial 16S ribosomal RNA". It matches the Rfam family "Bacterial small subunit ribosomal RNA", at positions 338 to 795 of the family's 1533-position model. The record is from RNAcentral. Lineage: Bacteria; Pseudomonadati; Pseudomonadota; Gammaproteobacteria; Oceanospirillales; Halomonadaceae.
CCUACGGGGGGCUGCAGUGGGGAAUAUUGGACAAUGGGGGGAACCCUGAUCCAGCCAUGCCGCGUGUGUGAAGAAGGCCCUCGGGUUGUAAAGCACUUUCAGUGAGGAAGAACGCCUGGUGGUUAAUACCCAUCAGGAAAGACAUCACUCACAGAAGAAGCACCGGCUAACAUCCGUGCCAGCAGCCGCGGUAAUACGGAGGGUGCGAGCGUUAAUCGGAAUUACUGGGCGUAAAGCGCGCGUAGGUGGCUUGAUAAGCCGGUUGUGAAAGCCCCGGGCUCAACCUGGGAAUGGCAUCCGGAACGGUCAAGCUAGAGUGAAGGAGAGGAAGGUAGAAUUCCCGGUGUAGCGGUGAAAUGCGUAGAGAUCGGGAGGAAUACCAGUGGCGAAGGCGGCCUUCUGGACUGACACUGACACUGAGGUGCGAAAGCGUGGGUAGCAAACAGGAUUAGAUACCCUAGUAGUC